Molecule: ribosomal RNA, 464 nt
Filed under: uncultured Spirochaetaceae bacterium
Lineage: Bacteria; Pseudomonadati; Spirochaetota; Spirochaetia; Spirochaetales; Spirochaetaceae
Description: bacterial SSU rRNA
Rfam family: Bacterial small subunit ribosomal RNA
Source: RNAcentral
CCCGCACAAGCGGUGGAGCAUGUGGUUUAAUUCGAUGGUACGCGAGGAACCUUACCUGGGUUUUGACAUACGGAGGGAAGUGGCAGCGAUGUCACUGUGUCGCGAGACGACUCCGUACAGGUGCUGCAUGGCUGUCGUCAGCUCGUGCCGCGAGGUGUUGGGUUAAGUCCCGCAACGAGCGCAACCCCUACUGCCAGUUACUAACAGGUGAAGCUGAGGACUCUGGCGGAACUGCCGGUGACAAACCGGAGGAAGGUGGGAUGACGUCAAGUCAUCAUGGCCCUUAUGUCCAGGGCUACACACGUGCUACAAUGGGCGAGACAGAGCGACGCGAAGCCGCGAGGUGGAGCAAAUCGCAGAAAAUCGUCCUCAGUUCGGAUUGGAGUCUGAAACCCGACUCCAUGAAGGUGGAAUCGCUAGUAAUCGCGCAUCAGCAUGGCGCGGUGAAUACGUUCCCGGGCCUU